AGUGUGUACGUGUCUUCAUGUACAUAUGAGGGGUGGGGUCUGCGCGGAUUCCCCGCCCCCAUACUCACGCCCACCAGGCCCCGGGAGGGGGCAGCAGCGGAGGCGACCGCUGCAGCAGGGAGACCCUCCUCCCAGCCUGCCCCGCCCCCACCCCCUACCUGCGGGCCGCUUCGCCGACCGCCCGAAUCGCCAGAAGCUGCGGACCCGGGGACUACUGGGGGCCUUCCUCUUGUGGUAUAAGCCCCAGAAACUGAUGCCUAUAAAGGAGGCAGGUAGGUGGAGAACCAGAGGAAACAUCCAGAGGAAAAGAAUGAAUCCCUUGGUAUGAGUUGAGUGGGAACAGGUACCAGGAAUCCCACUCAAUGCCUUGUACUUGCAGGCAAGCACUGUGCCACUGAGCUAUAUCCCCAGCCUGGUUUUGGUGCUUUGUAACCCCUUAAAGAACAGGUGCAGAAAUUUGCAAGAGGACAUCCUACACAGACAGGAGGCCCUCCAUGGUCAUCUUGCCCUGAAACCCCAUGAACCUCGUGGAUAUCAUGCACUUUGUCAUAUGUAUUUUGGUUUGGUUUGGUUGGGUUGGGUUUGGUUUGGUUUGGUUUUGGUUUGUUUUGAUUUACAGUACUGAGUGUGUUAACCCAAGGCCUUCACACUGAGCUACAGCCCCUAGCCCUUUUUUAUUUUUUAUUUGAGAUGGAGUCUUGCUAAGAUGCUAGAUUACCUAAACUUGGUUGGAACUGGCAGUCGUGCCCGCUUCAGCCUCCCAGAGUGCUAGGAUCACAAGCCUGCACCACCACGUCCAGUUCCAUGGUACAGGUUUAAAGUCUGGGCAGGCUAAGCUAUAACAAUUCCACAUCACACACAGAGCUGGGCACCUUGUGAGUGGAACUGACAGUCCUCUGAUGAAUCGGCCCCAGGACUGGAGCAUAAGGGUACAGAGUGGGAGAUGCUGGGGGAAGUGAAAGAUUUCAUUCCUAUCCAAGGAAGCUGCUUGCACCUCCUUCCUUCCCCAACUCAGUAACGGAGCUGGAGGUGGCCUUGGGGGUCUGUACAUGGAAGGUGUGUGUACCCGCUUUCCCUACCCCAUCGUGCUUACUUUGGCCCAAACAAUGUACAAUACGUCCUCUAUUCAUUUUCUUCAGCAUGUGACAAGCCAGGAGCAGCUGAGAGGGCUUUGAGGGUUUGGGGAGUGGGGAUUUCCAAGGGAGGAGGUGCUGAGGGAGGCUCUGCUGAGGGAGAACAGCUUUUCUGGCCACAGGGUUCAGUCACCCUACGUUAGCAGUGAAGGACAACACAUGCAUUGAGGGCCCCUCCUGGCCUGUAGGGGAUUUCCAGGAGAAGGACAAGAGCUAGGAGGCCCCAAAGGUGUCUGAGGUAAGGGAGGGACAGGAGCGGGGAAGAAAGAAGGCUCCCUUGGCAUCCCUUUCUUCUCAGCUCUUCCCACCCCUGAUAGAGGCUCCUCGCUGGGAAGAGCUUCUCCUGUUUGAAGUUUGAACAAAACAGUAAAGAAGCUGAAAUCAGACCGGCAGGUGUGGACUCCCUUUCUGCCUGCUGGCCACUGUACGGCCUUUAAUGAGUCACUCCUUCCUCGGGGCUCAGUUGCCCAUCUCUAUGUAUGAUGAGGGCUCCUUGUGACAUUUCAGGUCAUCAACAAUGAGCACCUAAGAUCCAGAGAUAGCUGUGCUCAGGAGACCCUGAUUAGAUCACUUAUGGCCAAAGCCAUUCAGUGUCAGGCCCUGUGUUGGGUAAGGACAGGGGAGGGCUAGUCAGCCCUGCUCCUGUUCUCAGGGUAUCCAAAUACUGAAGCAUGGCCACCCUGUGCUCCAUGAACCCCAAAGAACCAGCUGGUUCCAGUCUCCAGCAAGUACCCUGCCUGCCUCCUGUGCUUCAACUCCCAUGACCUCAGCUUCCCUUACCCUUGAAUUCUAGCUUAAAUAUCACUGCCUCUGAUCCCCCUCAGAGAUCCCUGUGCUUCCUCUUGUCAUUUUUGACCCCUAUUUACUUGUUCAACAUCUGGUUACAUGCUCAAAUUGUGAGAUUGGUUCAGGACAACUGAGACCUUGACUCUCUUAUUUAUCCCCAGGACAUAGUGGGUACUUAAUGUUUGUGAAAUAAAUGAGUGAGGCUCCUCCUUUCUGGA
This is a long non-coding RNA of Cavia porcellus (domestic guinea pig), 2137 nucleotides long. RefSeq lists it as uncharacterized. NCBI's taxonomy places the organism in Eukaryota, Metazoa, Chordata, Mammalia, Rodentia, Caviidae. The record is from RefSeq and is a predicted model, not a curated record. The transcript has 3 exons.